Molecule: long non-coding RNA, 494 nt
Filed under: Setaria viridis
Lineage: Eukaryota; Viridiplantae; Streptophyta; Magnoliopsida; Poales; Poaceae
Description: long non-coding RNA (SVIR_LNC002362)
Source: RNAcentral
ACUGUUUUCCUGGGUGGUUCUCCACGUUCCAAUUAAUGCAUGCAUGGUAUUCUUGUGAUAAGCAUAGAUAGAAGGAUGGUUAGGGACACUUGCCUUUCUCCAACGAGAAGUUACUCUUCAGCUCUUGCUCUCUUGAAACUCUUAAUCUUCAAAUCUUUCGAACAACGAUCCUUCUACUCGAAGCAAUCACCGGCACAAACAUACAUGCAAACAAAUAAGUACAACUAAGAACAAUACACCAAAAUAAAAGAAAAGCUUUAAAAGAACAUACUAAAGGAUAGGACUCGAUUCUAAGAUCGCAAACGCAAGAAACACGGGCAACGAAACUAUGGUUGAAAAGAUUAAGCUAUAGAGAGGUUUGAAUUAUAAAAGAAAGACAAGAGCUACAUGCUUCGUUUAUUUUAGUUGAGAAAAACAAUGUACAAAUAUUUCAGAUAAAUACCCUUAGUUGGAAUUAAUCAAGUCAUAUUUACAUAUGAAAAGAUGAUGUAAAG